CCUGCCAAUGCAAGGGACACGGGUUCCAGCCCUGCCCUGGUGUGGGAAGAUCCCACAUGCCACGGAGCAACUAAGCCUGUGCGCCACAACUACUGAGCCUGGGCUCUAGAAGCCACCACAAUGAGAGGCCCGCACACCACAACGAAGAGAACAGCCCCUGCUCGCCGCAACUAGAGAGAGCCCAUGCAUAGCAACGAAGACCCAAUGCAGCCAAAAAUAAAUAAAUAAAAUAAAUUUAAAUCACAGAUCAAUAGGUUUUUUUAAAAAAAGAAUAUUGUAAGCAUCUUUUAAAGCUUUAUCUAAACUCUAGAAAUUGUAUAUUGUCUAUAGCACCAAGUAAUCAGUGUUAGCCUAAUUCAACUUAAAUUCAACAAUUAAAACACUUAAACAGUAAGAGUAUGUAUUCAUAUUUGUUUAUUAUUGCAUAAAGAGGUUACCCAGAUUUUGAAGCAAGGUCAGUGGAAACUGGUCAUACUGAAGAACAGGUGGGGACAAUGCUUUUCACUAAAUACCUUUCUAAAAACUUUUUAUAAUCAUGUGAACAUAUUACCUGUUUUAAAAUUAAGCUUACCAUUUACAAUCAGCAUGAGAUGAAGAUGCAGAACUAUAAAUUCAUGAUAUAAUAAAUGGACUGAAAUUG
This is a long non-coding RNA of Orcinus orca (killer whale), 640 nucleotides long. RefSeq lists it as uncharacterized. The transcript is spliced from 2 exons. NCBI's taxonomy places the organism in Eukaryota, Metazoa, Chordata, Mammalia, Artiodactyla, Delphinidae. The record is from RefSeq and is a predicted model, not a curated record.